This 899-nucleotide ribosomal RNA is filed under the name uncultured Pseudomonadota bacterium. RNAcentral describes it as "bacterial SSU rRNA". It matches the Rfam family "Bacterial small subunit ribosomal RNA", at positions 8 to 892 of the family's 1533-position model. Lineage: Bacteria; Pseudomonadati; Pseudomonadota. The record is from RNAcentral.
AGAGUUUGAUCCUGGCUCAGAUUGAACGCUGGCGGUAUGCUUAACACAUGCAAGUCGAACGGGAAACGAUGGGAAGCUUGCUUCCAGGCGUCGAGUGGCGGACGGGUGAGUAACGCGUAGGAAUCUGCCUGAUAGUGGGGGAUAGCCCGGAGAAAUUCGGAUUAAUACCGCAUAAUCUACACGUAGUAAAGGAGGCCUCUAUUUAUAAGCUUUCGCUAUCAGAUGAGCCUGCGUAAGAUUAGCUUGUUGGUGAGGUAAAAGCUCACCAAGGCGACGAUCUUUAGCUGGUCUGAGAGGAUGAUCAGCCACACUGGGACUGAGACACGGCCCAGACUCCUACGGGAGGCAGCAGUGGGGAAUAUUGGACAAUGGGGGCAACCCUGAUCCAGCAAUACCGCGUGUGUGAAGAAGGCCUGAGGGUUGUAAAGCACUUUCAAUUGGGGAAGAAAAGCCUUAAAGGUUAAUAACCUUUAGCCUUGACCCUAACCUUUAGAAGAAGCACCGGCUAACUCCGUGCCAGCAGCCGCGGUAAUACGGGGGGGUGCAGCGUUAAUCGGAAUUAGUGGGGUAAAGCGUGCCGUAGGUGGUUUGUUAAGUCCUGAUCUGAAAGCCCCGGGCUCACCCUGGGAACUGCAUUUGAAACUGGCAAACUAGAGUAUAGGAGAGGAAAGUGGAAUUUCAGGUGUAGCGGUGAAAUGCGUAGAUAUCUGAAGGAACAUCAAUGGCGAAGGCAGCUUUCUGGACUAAUACUGACACUGAGGUACGAAAGCGUGGGUAGCAAACAGGAUUAGAUACCCUGGUAGUCCACGCCGUAAACGAUGACAACUAGCCGUUGGGAGGGUUUACCUCUUAGGGCGAAGCUAACGCGUUAAGUGUCCGCCUGGGGAGACGGCCGCAAG